AAAAAGAUAAGCUAAUUAAGCUACUGGGCUCAUACCUCAUUUAUAAAGGUCUUAAUCCUUUUCUUUUUA
RNAcentral lists this transfer RNA (69 nucleotides) under Staphylinidae sp. BMNH 1274246. Its description in RNAcentral is "tRNA-Met". It matches the Rfam family "tRNA". From Rfam's summary of the family: Transfer RNA (tRNA) molecules are approximately 80 nucleotides in length. Their secondary structure includes four short double-helical elements and three loops (D, anti-codon, and T loops). Lineage: Eukaryota; Metazoa; Arthropoda; Insecta; Coleoptera; Staphylinidae. The record is from RNAcentral.